UAGGGAAUCUUCGGCAAUGGGGGGAACCCUGACCGAGCAACGCCGCGUGAGUGAAGAAGGUUUUCGGAUCGUAAAGCUCUGUUGUUAAGGAAGAACGAGUGUGAGAAUGGAAAGUUCAUGCUGUGACGGUACUUAACCAGAAAGGGACGGCUAACUACGUGCCAGCAGCCGCGGUAAUACGUAGGUCCCGAGCGUUGUCCGGAUUUAUUGGGCGUAAAGCGAGCGCAGGCGGUUAGAAAAGUCUGAAGUGAAAGGCAGUGGCUCAACCAUAGUAGGCUUUGGAAACUGUUUAACUUGAGUGCAGGAAGGGAGAGUGGAAUUCCAUGUGUAGCCGUGAAAUGCGUAGAUAUAUGGAGGAACACCGGUGGCGAAAGCGGCUCUCUGGUCUGUAACUGACGCUGAGGCUCGAAAGCGUGGGGAGCGAACAGG
RNAcentral lists this ribosomal RNA (429 nucleotides) under Verrucomicrobiota bacterium. Its description in RNAcentral is "Verrucomicrobia bacterium partial 16S ribosomal RNA". It matches the Rfam family "Bacterial small subunit ribosomal RNA", at positions 355 to 776 of the family's 1533-position model. Lineage: Bacteria; Pseudomonadati; Verrucomicrobiota. The record is from RNAcentral.